GGGUUGUGAGGUUAAGCGACUAAGCGUACACGGUGGAUGCCCUGGCAGUCAGAGGCGAUGAAGGACGUGCUAAUCUGCGAUAAGCGUCGGUGAGGUGAUAUGAACCGUUAUAACCGGCGAUUUCCGAAUGGGGAAACCCAGUGUGUUUCGACACACUAUCAUUAACUGAAUCCAUAGGUUAAUGAGGCGAACCGGGGGAACUGAAACAUCUAAGUACCCCGAGGAAAAGAAAUCAACCGAGAUUCCCCCAGUAGCGGCGAGCGAACGGGGAGGAGCCCAGAGCCUGAAUCAGUGUGUGUGUUAGUGGAAGCGUCUGGAAAGGCGCGCGAUACAGGGUGACAGCCCCGUACACAAAAAUGCACAUACUGUGAGCUCGAUGAGUAGGGCGGGACACGUGGUAUCCUGUCUGAAUAUGGGGGGACCAUCCUCCAAGGCUAAAUACUCCUGACUGACCGAUAGUGAACCAGUACCGUGAGGGAAAGGCGAAAAGAACCCCGGCGAGGGGAGUGAAAAAGAACCUGAAACCGUGUACGUACAAGCAGUGGGAGCCUCUUAAUGGGGUGACUGCGUACCUUUUGUAUAAUGGGUCAGCGACUUAUAUUCUGUAGCAAGGUUAACCGAAUAGGGGAGCCGAAGGGAAACCGAGUCUUAACUGGGCGUUAAGUUGCAGGGUAUAGACCCGAAACCCGGUGAUCUAGCCAUGGGCAGGUUGAAGGUUGGGUAACACUAACUGGAGGACCGAACCGACUAAUGUUGAAAAAUUAGCGGAUGACUUGUGGCUGGGGGUGAAAGGCCAAUCAAACCGGGAGAUAGCUGGUUCUCCCCGAAAGCUAUUUAGGUAGCGCCUCGUGAAUUCAUCUCCGGGGGUAGAGCACUGUUUCGGCAAGGGGGUCAUCCCGACUUACCAACCCGAUGCAAACUGCGAAUACCGGAGAAUGUUAUCACGGGAGACACACGGCGGGUGCUAACGUUCGUCGUGAAGAGGGAAACAACCCAGACCGCCAGCUAAGGUCCCAAAGUCAUGGUUAAGUGGGAAACGAUGUGGGAAGGCCCAGACAGCCAGGAUGUUGGCUUAGAAGCAGCCAUCAUUUAAAGAAAGCGUAAUAGCUCACUGGUCGAGUCGGCCUGCGCGGAAGAUGUAACGGGGCUAAACCAUGCACCGAAGCUGCGGCAGCGACACUAUGUGUUGUUGGGUAGGGGAGCGUUCUGUAAGCCUGUGAAGGUGGCCUGUGAGGGUUGCUGGAGGUAUCAGAAGUGCGAAUGCUGACAUAAGUAACGAUAAAGCGGGUGAAAAGCCCGCUCGCCGGAAGACCAAGGGUUCCUGUCCAACGUUAAUCGGGGCAGGGUGAGUCGACCCCUAAGGCGAGGCCGAAAGGCGUAGUCGAUGGGAAACAGGUUAAUAUUCCUGUACUUGGUGUUACUGCGAAGGGGGGACGGAGAAGGCUAUGUUGGCCGGGCGACGGUUGUCCCGGUUUAAGCGUGUAGGCUGGUUUUCCAGGCAAAUCCGGAAAACCAAGGCUGAGGCGUGAUGACGAAGCACUACGGUGCUGAAGCGACAAAUGCCCUGCUUCCAGGAAAAGCCUCUAAGCAUCAGGUAACAUCAAAUCGUACCCCAAACCGACACAGGUGGUCAGGUAGAGAAUACCAAGGCGCUUGAGAGAACUCGGGUGAAGGAACUAGGCAAAAUGGUGCCGUAACUUCGGGAGAAGGCACGCUGAUAUGUAGGUGAAGCGACUUGCUCGUGGAGCUGAAAUCAGUCGAAGAUACCAGCUGGCUGCAACUGUUUAUUAAAAACACAGCACUGUGCAAACACGAAAGUGGACGUAUACGGUGUGACGCCUGCCCGGUGCCGGAAGGUUAAUUGAUGGGGUUAGCGGUAACGCGAAGCUCUUGAUCGAAGCCCCGGUAAACGGCGGCCGUAACUAUAACGGUCCUAAGGUAGCGAAAUUCCUUGUCGGGUAAGUUCCGACCUGCACGAAUGGCGUAAUGAUGGCCAGGCUGUCUCCACCCGAGACUCAGUGAAAUUGAACUCGCUGUGAAGAUGCAGUGUACCCGCGGCAAGACGGAAAGACCCCGUGAACCUUUACUAUAGCUUGACACUGAACAUUGAGCCUUGAUGUGUAGGAUAGGUGGGAGGCUUUGAAGUGUGGACGCCAGUCUGCAUGGAGCCGACCUUGAAAUACCACCCUUUAAUGUUUGAUGUUCUAACGUUGGCCCGUAAUCCGGGUUGCGGACAGUGUCUGGUGGGUAGUUUGACUGGGGCGGUCUCCUCCUAAAGAGUAACGGAGGAGCACGAAGGUUGGCUAAUCCUGGUCGGACAUCAGGAGGUUAGUGCAAUGGCAUAAGCCAGCUUGACUGCGAGCGUGACGGCGCGAGCAGGUGCGAAAGCAGGUCAUAGUGAUCCGGUGGUUCUGAAUGGAAGGGCCAUCGCUCAACGGAUAAAAGGUACUCCGGGGAUAACAGGCUGAUACCGCCCAAGAGUUCAUAUCGACGGCGGUGUUUGGCACCUCGAUGUCGGCUCAUCACAUCCUGGGGCUGAAGUAGGUCCCAAGGGUAUGGCUGUUCGCCAUUUAAAGUGGUACGCGAGCUGGGUUUAGAACGUCGUGAGACAGUUCGGUCCCUAUCUGCCGUGGGCGCUGGAGAACUGAGGGGGGCUGCUCCUAGUACGAGAGGACCGGAGUGGACGCAUCACUGGUGUUCGGGUUGUCAUGCCAAUGGCACUGCCCGGUAGCUAAAUGCGGAAGAGAUAAGUGCUGAAAGCAUCUAAGCACGAAACUUGCCCCGAGAUGAGUUCUCCCUGAGACUUAGAGUCUCCUGAAGGAACGUUGAAGACGACGACGUUGAUAGGCCGGGUGUGUAAGCGCAGCGAUGCGUUGAGCUAACCGGUACUAAUGAACCGUGAGGCUUAACCUUACAACGCCGAAG
This 2925-nucleotide ribosomal RNA is filed under the name Escherichia coli. RNAcentral's name for it is "bacterial LSU rRNA". It matches the Rfam family "Bacterial large subunit ribosomal RNA". Lineage: Bacteria; Pseudomonadati; Pseudomonadota; Gammaproteobacteria; Enterobacterales; Enterobacteriaceae. The record is from RNAcentral.